This is a long non-coding RNA of Silurus meridionalis, 2113 nucleotides long. RefSeq lists it as uncharacterized. The record is from RefSeq and is a predicted model, not a curated record. The transcript has 7 exons. Lineage: Eukaryota; Metazoa; Chordata; Actinopteri; Siluriformes; Siluridae.
UAAAGCUAUAGCCUAUACAUCAUGCAAUCACAAAAUAAUACAGCUUUAACCAAUUAUGUUAUGAUAUCUAGGUCAAUAAUCAUUUUCUUUUCAGUUACAUAAAAUUGGCUGCAAAUACUUGUCUUUCAUCAUUUAGUGAAUACAUAAGGCAAACUUAAAUAUGAACUUUCAUUCUUGUAAGAAGGGAAUGCAUGUUUUUUUAUUACACUUUUUUAAACAGCGUGUCUAAAAUUAAACAUACCAGAAAGCAUGCAGCCAGACAUUAAGGUGUAUGACCAGUCAGACACAGAAGUUGACAGGGAGGUUUUUGAAGAAAUAGUGAAGGAGUCACCUGGAACUCUGAGAAUCAUGCUGGGCAAUGGAGGACUUGGUAUUCAUUCAGACAAUUCACAAAUUAGUUUGUUUAGUUUAAAGGCCGGGAUGAGAACAUUUAUUUCCUAAAAUACCGGUACAUUUUUUUUGUAAUAUGUUUCUAUAUUUUGUACAAAUUUCAUAAUGAACAGGUGCCUCUUAAUUAUCAUCAUGCUCGGAUACAUCUGAUGACACUGUCAUCCUGAAUUUCACGAUCUGUGACCCUGUUGAAGAAGAAGCCACUGCCGAAGGAAGCUAGCCAUGCCACAUAAACUACGAGGCAAAAGCACCUGGUGGUGAACAAAUUAUGCAAGAGUAUGGAAAAACCAAAUCCCUGACAGAUGCCACCAGAAACAGAUGAUUACAUACUUGCUGCUGAGAUGACAGAAACACAUGGGACAUCCCCCCCAAAAGUGUCAGAGUGAUGUAUGCACAGGGGAUAGUAGCUUUGUUUCCCUAUCUAGAAGACCCAUACUCACAACAUGGAUAUGAACAUUACUACGAUCCAGAGAGUGGUUCAGGAUACUUUGCAUGGCGAUUGAAGACCAUAUAAAGAAAAACAGCAGAGGAAAGCAGUGCCUCAGUCAGCAAAUCUCCUAAAGUUGGUGGGCCAGGUCGUGUUCAUCAGCCCUCCACCUUUGACAGAGAGCCAUCUGAUGAGGAUGUGGAAGCAGCUAUUGCUGUUUUGAGACACUCUGCUGAUGAAAAGACUGUACGUGACAAGAUGAAAAUGACCUUCAUAUAUCGGCAAGCAAUGGUCAGUGAUGAAGCCAAAUCAUCAGAUGUCUUCUUGGUCUUCCCACGAUUUCUGGACACACCAGGACUGAUAGAACAAGAUUUCAGAUUUCUGUUUGGUGAGGCCACGGCCAACAAAUUCUUGGAGAAAUGGCCAACCACUUUUAAAGCAAAAGUAAUAAAGGAAAGCCAUGGACUUGUACCCACCACAGAACUCUUGGAUUUGAUGCGCAAUGCUGAGUCAGCUACUGAAGUUGAGAAUUGUAUGCAUGGAACUGUUUUACUUGUUAUUGUGGGUUAUGUAGGCUGGGACAGUGACAUGUCUGCCGCUGCUUGCUGCUGCUACAUCUGCUACCACCAUCUGCAUAUCAAGCUGUAGAUCAGCUCAUCAGAUUUCAAAAGGUAGGCAUCUUAAAAAGUGCCAUGGAAGCAGUUUAGUUGAUUCUGUAGAAUAUGAUCUUUUAUAUCCUUAAAGUACUGUCAAUACAAGUAAUGUUUCUCAUGUUGAAGAGUCGACUGAAUAUUUAGAGUCACAGUUAUCUUCGCCAUACAUUGUAAAUAGUUGUUCAUCUGUAAUUUCUGAUCUAAAGGCAGCAGGUGUUGGUCAAAGUACACUGAAUUCCGUAGUGAUUUCCAUGGAAGAGAUUGUUCAAGAUAUCCAUCAAUUGAAUCUGAAGUGCCCGUGUUUUAUCAGAUUGAGUCAGUUUUGAUAAUGUGUGAAAAACUGUUGCUAAUCACAGUGCUUUUAAACACAGUAACUUUUCAAGAACAUUUCCAUGCAUAUAAGGUGAUCAGAACAAAGCAGGAUUUUUUUUUUUUUUCAUGUGAACCUGCAUUACCCUAGGCCUUUUGACAUACAAAUGUCAUAUGGAGGAAAUGACACAACUCUCCUUGUUGUGCCAUAUUGCUUUCUCUGGUAAACAUUUAUUAUUAUGUUAUACAUGUUUAGGUCAGAGACAAGGCAAUGUGUUUGCAAUGUAAAUUAAAUGACAUUAAAAUUCUUUAUUUUUUACAAUAAAUUGUAAGU